AAUCCUCGCUGUGAUUAGCCUUGGGACCCAGCUCUGUAGCACCGCCGGACAGCCACAACUUCUCCCCGCCCCCGCCGUUCCCAAGGUAGGACCAGUGCCUUCUCCCGGCGACGCCCUGUCACAACCGGAGGUAGGGAGUCCGGCGGUCACCGGAGUUGAGCGCGAAGACAGGAGAGAAAUUCAGAAGAGAAGAAAGGUACGAGUAGUAUUGUACGGCCCAAUACGGCCCACCAACUACAUUUCAAAAUUGUGAUUCCAGAAUUAACUCCCGUGUUCAGCCGCCACCAUCCCCAUUCGUGACACGCCCUGCCGCCUCCAGCACCUUCUCCUCGCCCCACCGGCUUUCUCAGCGCCGCCGGACACUCUGGUCGCCCGCACCUUCUCCUGGAUCGAAGACUGGCGCCGAAAUCCCGUCGGUCUGCGUUGAAUGCCGUCAUAGGUAUUGUUGGAGGUCGUCAUCCAUCUUGGCAAGAUAAUCGUCGCAGCCCCAUGGACACCGGUGCCACAGCACCUGCACGAGCUAGAAAGCGGAAGGGCAGUGAAAAUGAUGCAUUCAUCGAAGAAGUCAAAAAAAUGAGAGAGUCUAGAUUAGAAAUAGAAAGAGAUCGAAAGGCACGUGUUGACAAGUUCUUUGAGCUGGAGAAGAGUAAACUUGACCUUGAGCGCGACAAACAUGACACAAAAGUAAUGGAAACCGAUACGAGUACAAAUGGAUGAUGAGUCCAAACGGUAUUUUAAGUUACUGAAAGAGGAGAUUUUGGCGAGACGUUUUGGGAGAAAGCAAGAUUAAGGCAUCCUAAUAUUAGAGUUGCUGUUAUUCUUAUGUUAUACUCCGUAAUAAUUAUUUUCAACUGUUAGUUGUUGUGCCAUGUACGAUUGAACAAGUUGAGCAAGUUGAUGUGUGAACUGUUGGUUAGUCUUAUUCUAUAAUAAUUCUUGCGAACUGUUUGUGCAGUGUUAUUGUGGAUUGCUGAUUGUGCACUGGUAUUCAAUGAAUAUAUAUGCAGAAGUAUGUUCUGAAUUUUGUGGUAGCCUUCCUCUCUACUCCUUGCAGCAUAGCGAACACGUUAACUUGCUUUGCAUAUUAUUGUUCUUUCUGUGUUCAGGGAGUACUUAUAUUAGUCUGCAUGGUACAUUUGCUGGAUUUGCAUCGCAAAGCACCCACCAUUGGUGGUACUAAGUUCACUGCUUUUACAGAGAAUGUUCACAACCUAGCUGGUGAUGUCUUACACGAAUGAUAAUUCAGAUGGUGAUGCCUUUGCUGAUUCACCAUCAGGAAGUCCAUCAUCAUGGAAUUCUCAUUCACUUGAUGAAAUAACAGAUGCUGAUGUAUCUCGAAUGCGGAAAAAGUGGAGCAGUGCACAGAUGUAUCUCGGAUGCUGAUGUAUUCUCAGAGUGAUUUGUAGUUAGUUCUAGUUUAUGAUUCAUUGGAUUUGCAUCGCUUUUUAAAAUCUACAUGAUAUAUGUGCUUCAGAAUACCAUAAAUUUUGGAUUUCCAUGGAGCAAGAAACCUGCUAUCUGUCACAGGCAUCUUCAUACAUGACUUGCUAUUUUGUUCUUACUGCCCUGGACUUAGCAUCUUUUUAAAUUUUCUCUUGGUGCCUUUAAUUGAGCGCAUAUAAUUGCUGAGGUUUAUUUGAAUGGACAGGCGCUGCAGGCUGCCGUGGAAAAAUAGGUGGAAUUGGUCAUGUAUGGUAAAAUCUGCAGCACCAAUCCUAGGGAUAUCACACUUCAUGAGCUUGAUGCAGCAAAUGCACAACCACAACGAGAUCAAGAUAUUUUGUACCUUAUGGGAUAGAUGAUGAAGCCACGAAAGACUGAAAUCACGGAAAAAACUAUGGCAAGAAAUCAAUGAGGUGUAAACAGAUAUAUUGACGAAGGAAUCUGCAGAGCUUGUAGCCUUGUACGUGGUGUUUUGUUCAUUGAUGGGGUAUCAUUUUAUUGCACUUGUGAUUGAAAGAUGCACUUAUCAUGGCCUAAGAGAAAAGUUAAGUAGAAAGCAUGUUGAUUUUGUUGUUUGCUAAACAUGUUUUAUCUGCCUCAUGGUGCAGCAAGGUUUUAAAGUUGGCUAGUCGACUCUAGUCGCUUGAGCACCGAUAAGGUGACUAAUCGUGAUUAGUCGUUGAUUUGCUCGAUUAGUCGAGCCUAGUCGACUCCUAAUUGUCCACCUAUAACAGGACUUUUAUAUAUAUAUGUGUGUGUCUGUGUAGCAGGACAAUAGUACACUGGUUUCACUAAAAGUUAAAGAGGUGCUCAUUUUGGUCUCUGAAUUCUGAACAGAGGAGUGAUCGCCUGCGCGUGCUGGAGGGGGGACCUCCGUAGAGUGCAGCUGCCGCGCAAUGGAGGGGGGCGCAGGUGACGCUCAAGUAGAGGGCCGCUGGAGCAUAGCAAGGUGGCAGGGGAGGAGGGCGGCGGCGAUGGAGAAGGGCGCACAUGCGAGCGCGACUGUACGCUACGUAAUGCGUGUACUGUAUUGGUACAGGUAGGGUAAAACAAUGUUUGAGUUGUACAGACGGUGAGUCGGCACAUAUAACAGAGACCAUAUUAGUGGCCCAAAAUAGGCAUACAUAGUCGACCAUUAUACCUAGUCGGGGCAACUAGGACGACUAAUCGCUUUCUAAUCGCUCUAGUUGAGUCGAAGACCCUAAUCGAGCUCGCUCUAGCGAUAAGGCCAACUAAUCGUGAUUAGUCGGGCGACUUUAAAACCUUGUGGUGCAGUGCCACGUUUGUUGAACUUGAUUGUGUCUUCUGUCUAUUGAAAACCAAUUAAUGAAAUAAUGUUUUUCAGGUCCUCAUGAUGGAUAUUGAAUGUUUUUCUUAUCUUAACCGUGCAUUAGAGAGUCCUUUAUCACCAAUUGUGAUAAUUGCUACAAAUAGGGGAAUAUGUAAUGUAAGGUAUGCACUUUAUUUGCCACAGUAGUCUGCAGCUAACUUCAAUUGCGAUAAUAAGACCGUACAUGUACUUGUCUAUUAAGUUGCACCCUAAAUACUUGCUUGAUAAAUCUUGUAAUGGUUUUAUCCAGAGGAACUGAUAUGACGAGUCCACACGGUAUACCAGUGUAUCUUCUAGAUAGGUUGGUGACUAUUCGGACAGAAACAUAUGGCCCUACUGAGGUGAAACAGGUUCUUUACUUGUUUUGGGCACAAUUUCUAACGGCCCGUUUGAAUUAUUGGAAUUGAAUUCCAUUCUAAUAAUAGUAAU
Zea mays is the source of this 3202-nucleotide long non-coding RNA. RefSeq lists it as uncharacterized. The record is from RefSeq and is a predicted model, not a curated record. NCBI's taxonomy places the organism in Eukaryota, Viridiplantae, Streptophyta, Magnoliopsida, Poales, Poaceae. The transcript is spliced from 3 exons.